AACGAACGCUGGCGGCAGGCUUAACACAUGCAAGUCGAACGCAUCCUUCGGGGUGAGUGGCAGACGGGUGAGUAACGCGUGGGAACGUGCCCUUCAGUUCGGGAUAACCCAGGGAAACUAGGGCUAAUACCGGAUACGCCCUUUUGGGGAAAGGUUUACUGCCGGAAGAUCGGCCCGCGUCUGAUUAGCUCGUUGGUGGGGUAACGGCCUACCAAGGCGACGAGCAGUAGCUGGUCUGAGAGGAUGAUCAGCCACACUGGGACUGAGACACGGCCCAGACUCCUACGGGAGGCAGCAGUGGGGAAUAUUGGACAAUGGGCGCAAGCCUGAUCCAGCCAUGCCGCGUGAGUGAUGAAGGCCUUAGGGUUGUAAAGCUCUUUUAUCCGGGACGAUAAUGACGGUACCGGAGGAAUAAGCCCCGGCUAACUUCGUGCCAGCCGCCGCCGUAA
This 449-nucleotide ribosomal RNA is filed under the name uncultured bacterium. Its description in RNAcentral is "partial 16S ribosomal RNA". It matches the Rfam family "Bacterial small subunit ribosomal RNA", at positions 29 to 523 of the family's 1533-position model. The record is from RNAcentral.